RNA transcript from Prosopis cineraria, 2346 nucleotides. It is a transcript of the gene named probable adenylate kinase 7, mitochondrial, with no coding region annotated. The record is from RefSeq and is a predicted model, not a curated record. NCBI's taxonomy places the organism in Eukaryota, Viridiplantae, Streptophyta, Magnoliopsida, Fabales, Fabaceae. The transcript is spliced from 7 exons.
UCCCCAACUUCUAGGUGACAUGAGAUCGUCCUUGAGCCUCGUGUCGAAAGUCCUCUUUCCCUCUUGCGCAGCUUGCUCUUCUCGUUUUCCCUUGUCGUGCGGGACAGAAGCCCUACUGCCAAUCGCCGCCGCUGCCAAUGGCCGCGAUCAGCCUUAGGAGACUGGUUUCACCACCCUCGCUCGGAGCCCUUGGAUUCCUUUCCAACCGAGCUCUCGGAUCGGCGGCUUUGGCCGUUCAGUACGACUAUGAUGAUGACGAAGAUGAGUACGAGGCGUGCAGGCCUAGAGCCAUGGCCGAAUCGGCGGGUUGGGCGCCGGAACGUGGAGUUCAGUGGGUAAUGAUUGGGGAGUCGGGCGCCAAACGCCACGUGUUUGCCGAGAGGCUCUCCAAGCUUCUUGAAGUUCCCCAUAUAUCUAUGGGCAGUCUUCUUCGGCAGGAGCUGACCCCACGCUCUGCUCUCUACCAGCAGAUAGCGAAUGCCCUGAACGAAGGAAAGCUUGUUCCCGAGGAAAUAAUUUUCGGGUUACUGUCGAGAAGGCUUGAAGAAGGAUAUUCAACAGGUGAAACUGGCUUCAUCCUGGAUGGAAUUCCUCGUACAAGGAUUCAGGCUGAGAUUCUUGAUCAAAUUGUUCAUGUUGAUUUGGUUGUGAAUUUCAAAUGCUCGGAAGAAAACUCGGCGAAGAAAACUCAGGAGUAUAUUCGAAUGAGCUGCUGCGGGGCUUCAUCUGAGCAGUUGCAGGAUGAACUAUUAAAAUCCCGUUGCGGAAGUUCUCGUAAAGAAAAUUUCGGCAACCUUGGAGAACAGAGCAAGAUGUUGGAAGAUUACUACUGUAAGCAGAAGAAACUUAUUAAUUUUGAAGUAGCCGGUGGACCUGGAGAAAACUGGCAGGGGCUUCUGGCUGCAUUGCAUCUUAAGCACAUUAAUGCUACUAGUUCUACACAGAAGUUGACUGCUAAAUAGGUCAUCAAUCUUCCCACCCAGCAUUCAUAUUCCUUUGCGGCGUUCUAGUACUUGUGAAUAUGAGAGCCAGAGUUAUUCGGAAAAUUUUUAAAUAAUUUCCGGAAGUUUUGUUUUGUUUGUUCGUUUUUCUUUUCAAUUUUUGACAACCUGGAGAGUUUACCUUCGAUGUGUUGCCUCAAGUAAAGAAAGGCAGAAUACGGCCCUGUAUGACCACUAUUAUUUUACAAGAUCUGAACUGGUUUGUGCCGCUCUGCUUUCCCGCAACUUCCCUAUCCAGUUCCAGGAUGGAAUGACUUCACGCAGAAAUUCUAGUGCAACAAAAUGGCAGAACCAGUAUUUUUGCCCCCUUUUUAACUACUUUACGGAUCCAAUCUGCGGGGCUAUCUUCUGAUGUAGGUAUGGCAUGGCAUCCGGGGCUACUUGAUGCCACUACAUCUUUCAGUCAGGCAGAGGCCAAGGAGGAUAUCAUAUCACCAAGCAUCCUCAAUCAGGUUGGUGGGAAAGCGCUUAAAAUUAUAUGCAUAGAAAAUAUUUAGCUCAGGCGUACCUUGGGACAUCAUUUCCACACGCUUUUGCAACAAGUACUAGUCCAGAAACAGCACUUUUAGCAGCUCCAGCCCUUCUUGAUCGAAGAUUUUCUUUACAAGCAUGAAGAUAGAGCCUAGAAAGGCGCCGAGCUGGGGCAUAUAUCUUACUCAUGGAGCUUCCGUGCUCAGCAACUACAGAAUAUAGAGCAACCUCUAUAGUUGCAGCUUCUCUUAACUCUCCUUCAAGCAUCUUUAUCUUGCUUUCCAAAAGAUUGAUUUUGCGGUCUGAAAUUGAACUCCUUACUUCCUUUGGAUAAACCUUGGCAUCUUUUUUGUCACUGACUCUGAUAUUCCCUCCAUUAUUUUGCACAUCUCCAACCAUGCCAGCAUCCUUUACUUCAUCAUGAUGAUUACUGCCAGAACCAUCCUUGUUUGCAGUGCCAGGAUUCGUUCCCACAUAGUGAUUAUUAUCUGGAGAUGCUGUGUUGCAAGGAUAACCAUGAGAAGUGCAUUCAUUGCGGUUUAAUUGAGCAUCAGUAGUUAUAGUUCUACUUGUAUCAGCGUUUAUUUGAACAUGCUGAUUCAAAUGCUCGUAGUAACUGCUGCCAGUCUUGGUCCUAGGAUUUUCAUUUAAGUUGUCAAGUGCUAAAGAUGGGGAAGAACGAUGAACGAUUGAUGAGACAACAUGCUUUUGGGAUGUCACUGAACUAUGAUGAGAACUAAUAGAAGUUUGACCAUUUAGUGGACUCCCAAGAUCAGAUGAUACAUCUACUGAUGAUGUGUAUGGCGAACUCCUCUCCAGCUUCUUAUAUGUAUCUUGCGGUAUUAUAUUCAAUUUUUCAAUCCUUUUUUCUGAA